This is a long non-coding RNA of Magnolia sinica, 1103 nucleotides long. RefSeq lists it as uncharacterized. Lineage: Eukaryota; Viridiplantae; Streptophyta; Magnoliopsida; Magnoliales; Magnoliaceae. The transcript has 3 exons. The record is from RefSeq and is a predicted model, not a curated record.
GCUGAUUUUUAGAAUCAUGUCUCUUUCAAAGCAUACGGACGGAGUGGAUUUGUCACGAACAUUCCCGUAGCCCCGGCCACAGGUAUAGGCAAUACGCUCCCCCCUGAGGGCGCACUGCUGAGGAUUUAAGAUCCCGGCCCGAGGAUAUCCAGAUAAUACUCGGCUUUUCAAUUUUCACUAGUGGGGCCCGUGGAUUCGUUAUCCCAACCGUUGGUUGGUCUGUUACGAGCCACACUGGAUGGACCGUGCCCAAAACAUCCGCCUCGUUGUAAGAUCCUAGACGCCGGUAUUGUUCAGCGUUUCACUUAAACAGGGACCGUCGCUACAUUUCUAAUCUCAACCUUCUGCUUUCAGGCCACAAAUUCAAACUCUAUAACUGUCCUAUUUUGAUAAUAUUAGAGAUUAGACGUCAUACCAACGGUCUGGAUCACCGAUUGUGGUCCCCAUUUUCUCCAAACUCAAAACCCAUGUAUGUUGUGAGUUUCCUCGGCCGGUGGAUCCGGUAUCACCAUGAAAAACUCCAUUUUCGCCAUUAAAGCCAGAGACUCAAGCUCUGCAACCCGCGCCAUUGAAUCGAGCCGUGGCUCGAGAGUCUGGUGGCAGCCAUGUCUGCAGCCGCGGGCGACGCCCUCGAGCUCGAAGCCAUGCGCAUGGAUGAUCAUUAAUGGCACCCAUGCUAUGUCUCUCUCAGGUUUAGGAAAAUUUCCCAUUUGGGAGAUAUUUGUUGCAUGGACCGUCAAUGGUGGGGCCUAGAAUAUCAACCUUUUGGAUCAUGGACAGCCAGGUUCAGAUGGGCCAACAUGAAGAAAAUUGCGAGUUGCUUUUGAGGCUGUAUUGGGUUAGAAAGUCCAUCUUAUGCACUAGGGGUGCGGCUAUGUGAAGAGGAUUCAGAUUUAUAUGAGAUUCUUGGGUGUGGAGCAGAAGGUUACCUGGCACUCAUCUCGGUCUCAUACUGUGUGGGAAAGCCAUCUAAGAUUCUAUAAGACCCAGCUGUUGAGUGAGUGGAGAGGAACCUUUCAGCUUGAAAGAGUAAAUAUUUAUCUAAUGACGGCCACAUUACACUUAUAAAAGCAGCUGUAGCCAACAUAUGUGAAUGUGCUAUA